Long non-coding RNA from Oreochromis aureus, 479 nucleotides. The record is from Ensembl. Lineage: Eukaryota; Metazoa; Chordata; Actinopteri; Cichliformes; Cichlidae.
CUUGGCACAACAGCUUGACUCAGGGAGAUGUUAAAGAUGCCCGCUAGGACAUCAGUCAGCUGGUCAGCACAGGCUCCGAGCACACGUCCGGGUAUAUUGUCUGGUCCAGCAGCUUUGUGUGGGUUGACUUUAGUAAGAUGGUGGUGGUUUUAAAGCACUUGGCACAACAGCUUGACUCAGGGAGAUGUUAAAGAUGCCCGCUAGGACAUCAGUCAGCUGGUCAGCACAGGCUCCGAGCACACGUCCGGGUAUAUUGUCUGGUCCAGCAGCUUUGUGUGGGUUGACUUUAGUGAGAGUCCUUCUCACACUGGCCGUGCACAGGGACAGCACUUGGUUGUCUGGCGAGGGGGUGGCCCUCUAUAGACAGUACUGCAUCCCAUUUAAAGAAGUGCGUGUUCACACUGCCCCUGGAUGUCCUGGCCUCUGAGGUUAAGGUGUACGGCUCCUGGUUGUAAACUGACCAAUUUAUCAUGGCAAAG